UACGUAGGGUGCUAACGUUGUUCGGAAUCACUGGGCAUAAAGAGCGCGUAGGCGGUCUGAUAAGUCAGGUGUGAAAUCCCCCGGCUCAACCGGGGAACUGCACCUGAUACUGUUGGGCUUGAGUGCAGGAGGGGAGAGCGGAAUUCCUGGUGGAGCGGUGAAAUGCGUAGAUAUCAGGAGGAACGCCGGCGGCGAAGGCAGGUCUCUGGGCCGAUACUGACGCUGAGGAGCGAAAGCGUGGGGAGCGAACAGG
This 253-nucleotide ribosomal RNA is filed under the name uncultured bacterium. Its description in RNAcentral is "partial 16S ribosomal RNA". It matches the Rfam family "Bacterial small subunit ribosomal RNA", at positions 524 to 776 of the family's 1533-position model. The record is from RNAcentral.